UUGGAGGGCAAGUCUGGUGCCAGCAGCCGCGGUAAUUCCAGCUCCAAUAGCGUAUAUUAAAGUUGUUGCUGUUAAAAAGCUCGUAGUUGAAUUUCGGGGUUAGUAGGUUGGUCAUGCCUCCGGUAUGUACUGGUCUCACUGAUUCCUCCUUCCUGAUGAGCCGUAAUGCCAUUAAUUUGGUGUUGCGGGGAAUUUGGACUGUUACUUUGAAAAAAUUAGAGUGUUUAAAGCAGGCUUAUGCUUGAAUAGAUUAGCAUGGAAUAAUAAAAUAGGACGGCAUGGUUCUAUUUUGUUGGUUUCUAGGAUCACCGUAAUGAUUAAUAGGGAUAGUUGGGGGCAUUAGUAUUCAAUUGUCAGAGGUGAAAUUCUUGGAUUUAUUGAAGACUAACUACUGCGAAAGCAUUUGCCAAGGAUGUUUUCAUUAAUCAAGAACGAAAGUUAGGGGAUCGAAGACGAUCAGAUACCGUCGUAGUCCUAACCAUAAACUAUGCCGACUAGGGAUCGGAUGAUGUUAAUUUUUUAAUGUCUCAUUCGGCGCCUUACGGGAAAC
Molecule: ribosomal RNA, 550 nt
Filed under: uncultured Glomeraceae
Lineage: Eukaryota; Fungi; Glomeromycota; Glomeromycetes; Glomerales; Glomeraceae
Description: SSU rRNA
Rfam family: Eukaryotic small subunit ribosomal RNA
Source: RNAcentral